This is a long non-coding RNA of Aphis gossypii (cotton aphid), 304 nucleotides long. RefSeq lists it as uncharacterized. NCBI's taxonomy places the organism in Eukaryota, Metazoa, Arthropoda, Insecta, Hemiptera, Aphididae. The record is from RefSeq and is a predicted model, not a curated record. The transcript has 3 exons.
AUUUUAAACUUAAUAAUAUUGUCAAUUUUAUGAUUUUAUUACAUAUUAAAGAAAAUAAUGAAUUUAGACAUGUAUGAUAAUUACCUAUCACUAUACUCAUGAAAAUCUCAGAAGAGACAAGAAUUGAAGACAGUAAAGAUAGUGAUAGGUGGAGAGGAGUGUUUGAUUCAGCAGAGGUCCUAAAUGGACUGUAAAAGCUGAAAAGAAGAAGAAGAAGUUAUCAAUAUAAAUCGGUGUACAGAUAUUAAACGCCAUGAACGUACAAAAUUUUACAAAAAUAUGACAAACAAUAAUAACAUGACGC